UACGGGGGGAGCAAGCGUUGUUCGGAUUUACUGGGCGUAAAGGGCGCGUAGGCGGCCACCGCAGGUCAGUUGUGAAAUCUCUGGGCUUAACCCAGAACGGUCAGCUGAUACUGCGGGGCUAGAGUGCAGAAGGGGCAACUGGAAUUCUCGGUGUAGCGGUGAAAUGCGUAGAUAUCGAGAGGAACACCUGCGGCGAAGGCGGGUUGCUGGGCUGACACUGACGCUGACAGCGCGAAAGCUAGGGGAGCGAACGGG
This 255-nucleotide ribosomal RNA is filed under the name uncultured bacterium. RNAcentral describes it as "partial 16S ribosomal RNA". It matches the Rfam family "Bacterial small subunit ribosomal RNA", at positions 524 to 776 of the family's 1533-position model. The record is from RNAcentral.